This is a long non-coding RNA of Lingula anatina, 239 nucleotides long. The record is from RefSeq and is a predicted model, not a curated record. NCBI's taxonomy places the organism in Eukaryota, Metazoa, Brachiopoda, Lingulata, Lingulida, Lingulidae.
CUCAGAUAACACUCUCGGGGUUGUAGCCGGAGUCUUGACAUCAGUGGCGCUGGCGGCUGUUGUCGUAGUACAGUGUGUUAUAUUUGUAAUGGCAAAGAGGGAACAGGACAGCUCUGAGAGGUCAGUUCAAUCAAAUCCAAGAAAAGCACAGGAACAACGAAGAACAGCAGAUCUCACAUCCAGUCAGCAGCCCAUGGUAAACACAGGUGCUUCUGUGAGUCACGCUAACAAUUACAUGU